RNAcentral lists this ribosomal RNA (883 nucleotides) under Escherichia coli. RNAcentral describes it as "partial 23S ribosomal RNA". It matches the Rfam family "Bacterial large subunit ribosomal RNA", at positions 2048 to 2925 of the family's 2925-position model. Lineage: Bacteria; Pseudomonadati; Pseudomonadota; Gammaproteobacteria; Enterobacterales; Enterobacteriaceae. The record is from RNAcentral.
UCGCUGUGAAGAUGCAGUGUACCCGCGGCAAGACGGAAAGACCCCGUGAACCUUUACUAUAGCUUGACACUGAACAUUGAGCCUUGAUGUGUAGGAUAGGUGGGAGGCUUUGAAGUGUGGACGCCAGUCUGCAUGGAGCCGACCUUGAAAUACCACCCUUUAAUGUUUGAUGUUCUAACGUGGACCCGUGAUCCGGGUUGCGGACAGUGUCUGGUGGGUAGUUUGACUGGGGCGGUCUCCUCCUAAAGAGUAACGGAGGAGCACGAAGGUUGGCUAAUCCUGGUCGGACAUCAGGAGGUUAGUGCAAUGGCAUAAGCCAGCUUGACUGCGAGCGUGACGGCGCGAGCAGGUGCGAAAGCAGGUCAUAGUGAUCCGGUGGUUCUGAAUGGAAGGGCCAUCGCUCAACGGAUAAAAGGUACUCCGGGGAUAACAGGCUGAUACCGCCCAAGAGUUCAUAUCGACGGCGGUGUUUGGCACCUCGAUGUCGGCUCAUCACAUCCUGGGGCUGAAGUAGGUCCCAAGGGUAUGGCUGUUCGCCAUUUAAAGUGGUACGCGAGCUGGGUUUAGAACGUCGUGAGACAGUUCGGUCCCUAUCUGCCGUGGGCGCUGGAGAACUGAGGGGGGCUGCUCCUAGUACGAGAGGACCGGAGUGGACGCAUCACUGGUGUUCGGGUUGUCAUGCCAAUGGCACUGCCCGGUAGCUAAAUGCGGAAGAGAUAAGUGCUGAAAGCAUCUAAGCACGAAACUUGCCCCGAGAUGAGUUCUCCCUGACCCUUUAAGGGUCCUGAAGGAACGUUGAAGACGACGACGUUGAUAGGCCGGGUGUGUAAGCGCAGCGAUGCGUUGAGCUAACCGGUACUAAUGAACCGUGAGGCUUAACCUU